AAAAAGUUUUAUUUUAGCUUAAAAAAAUCAAUAUAUAAUUUUUUUAUAUAUAAAUUUUUAUGAGAAUUUAUAAAAUUUUAAAUAAAUUUUAUAUUAUUUUAGUUGUAGUAUGUAAAUUUAAAUAUUUAAGAUAUUAAGAUUUAGGAAUUUAUAAUAGUAUUAACAAAAUUUGUGCCAGCAGUUGCGGUUAUACAUAUAAUACAAUUUAUUUUUAUUAAUAAAUAAUUAAAAGAUUAAUUUUAAUUAAAUUAAUAAUUUAUUAGGUGAAAUUUUAAAUUAUUAAAAGUUAUUUUUUAGAUUUUGAAGUUAUUAAAUUUUAUAAAAAACUAGGAUUAGAUACCCUAUUAUUAAAAUGUAAAUUUUUAAUAUUAAAUUAUUAAUAGUUAUAAUCUUUAAAGUUAAAGAUUUUGGCGGUAUUUUAGUCUUUUUAGAGGAACCUGUUCUGUAAUUGAUAAUCCACGAUUAGAAUUACUUAAUUUAAAAAUUUAUAUAUCGUUGUAGUUGAAUAUUUUAUAAGAAAUUAAAUAUUCAAAAAAUUUUAUUAAAAAAUAAAUCAAAUCAAGGUGUAGUUUAUAAUUAAGAAGAAAUGGGUUACAUUUAUUAUAAUAAUGGAUUGAUAAUUUAAAAUUAUUUUGAAAUUGGAUUUAAUAGUAAUUUAUUUAAUUUAGAUUAAAUGAUUUUAGCUCUAAAAUAUGCACAUAUUGCCCGUCGCUCUCAUUUAAGUUGAGAUAAGUCGUAACAUAGUAAAUGUACUGGAAAGUGUAUUUAGUUAGCA
Molecule: non-coding RNA, 775 nt
Filed under: Aleochara sp. 3 EF-2015
Lineage: Eukaryota; Metazoa; Arthropoda; Insecta; Coleoptera; Staphylinidae
Source: RNAcentral